RNAcentral lists this ribosomal RNA (467 nucleotides) under uncultured bacterium. RNAcentral describes it as "partial 16S ribosomal RNA". It matches the Rfam family "Bacterial small subunit ribosomal RNA", at positions 28 to 507 of the family's 1533-position model. The record is from RNAcentral.
GAUGAACGCUGGCGGCGCGCCUAACACAUGCAAGUCGAACGAUUAAAGCACCUUCGGGUGUGUAUAAAGUGGCGAACGGCUGAGUAACACGUGGGCAACCUGCCCCUCUCAUUGGGAUAGCCACGGGAAACCGUGGAUAAUACCGAAUACUUCGGGACUUCCGCAUGGAAGACUCGAGAAAGCUCCGGCGGAGAGGGAUGGGCCCGCGGCCUGUUAGCUUGUUGGUGGGGUAAUGGCCUACCAAGGCAAUGAUGGGUAGCUGGGUUGAGAGACCGACCAGCCAGAUUGGGACUGAGACACGGCCCAGACUCCUACGGGAGGCAGCAGUGGGGAAUCUUGCACAAUGGGCGAAAGCCUGAUGCAGCGACGCCGCGUGCGGGAUGAAGGCCUUCGGGUUGUAAACCGCUUUCAGCAGGGACGAGGCGAAAGUGACGGUACCUGCAGAAGAAGCCCCGGCUAAUUACGUG